RNAcentral lists this long non-coding RNA (1248 nucleotides) under Homo sapiens (human). RNAcentral's name for it is "HSALNT0093478". The record is from RNAcentral. Lineage: Eukaryota; Metazoa; Chordata; Mammalia; Primates; Hominidae.
AAAAGCUUAGAGAAAGAACGAUUAAGUAACUUAUUCAAGUUCUCACAGCAGUAUGUGGUAGAGACAACUAUGGUAAUGAAACAGUCUGCUCUAGAGUUCAUAAUCUUCACCAUCUUGAUACACUGCUCAGGAAAUCUUGGCUCUAUAAGAAUACUAACAGACGGAAUACUAUGCAGCCAUAAAAGAGGAUGAGUUCAUAUCCUUUGCAGGGACAUGGAUGAAGCCUGAAACCAUCAUUCUCAGCAAACUAACACAGGAACAGAAAACCAAACCACAUUCUCUCACUCGUAAGUGGGAGUCCAACAAUGAGAACACAUGGAAACAGGGAGGGGAACACCACAAACCAGGGCCUGUUGGCAGGUAGGGGGCUAGGGGAAGGAUAGCAUUAGGAGAAAUACCUCAUGUAGAUGACAGCUUAAUGGGUGCAGCAAAGCAUGUGUAUACCUUGUAACAAACCUGCAUGUUCUGCACAUGUAUCCCAUAUGUAUCCAAGUAUAAUAAUAAUAAAAAAGAAUACUAUUAGUAUUUUAUAGAUUUUAUAACUUCCAAUGGGGCUAUCUGGUGCAAGCACCAGUUUUUUUGUCUGAAUUACUAUAAUAGCCACUUAACUGCUGUUCCAUCUUGAACUCUUCCUCUUUAUAGUAUAUUCUCAACAUGGAAGCAAGAACAAUAAUUUUAAAAUGUAAGGCAGUUCACAUUAGUUUUCUUUAUAAAACCCAGAAACUUUACAAUGGCUUUGAAAGUCCCAUAUAACAUGGCUUCCUUCCACUACUUGCUCACAACAAUUUGGCACACUGACCUCCCUGUUCUUUCUCACUCAAGGGUGUUGCCUCUUUAGGGAUUCCACAUUUGCUUUUCUCUCUGACUCCAAAGUUCAUAAUGCAUAUAAUUGCAUCGCUUAGUCUCUCAUCUGCUGCCAAGUUCUAGCUUGAAAAUACUAUCUCCUCACUUAGGUCAAACAUGAUACCGCUAUUUGAAAUUGCAAAUUAUAUGCCCCUUCUUCCUAACCUGUCAUUCUAGAUCAUCUCACCUUGAUCUAUACAUAUUUUUCUAUGGAAUUUAUCACCUUACAACAUGCCCCAUAAUGUAAUUAUUUAAUGUUUAUUAUGUAAUUGAUUAUGUUUCCCCCUAAGAUGAGCUUCAACAAGAGCAGGAAUCUCUGUUUUGUUCACUGAUACAUCUCUAUGUUCUUAGAAAAAUCUGUAGUAAAUAAUAGUCACUGAAUAAAGUCUUAUUUAAUAAAUGGAU